RNAcentral lists this ribosomal RNA (497 nucleotides) under uncultured bacterium. Its description in RNAcentral is "partial 16S ribosomal RNA". It matches the Rfam family "Bacterial small subunit ribosomal RNA", at positions 28 to 507 of the family's 1533-position model. The record is from RNAcentral.
GAUGAACGCUGGCGGCGUGCCUAAUACAUGCAAGUCGAGCGAACAGAUGAGGAGCUUGCUCCUCUGACGUUAGCGGCGGACGGGUGAGUAACACGUGGAUAACCUACCUAUAAGACUGGGAUAACUUCGGGAAACCGGAUCUAAUACCGGAUAAUAUAUUGAACCGCAUGGUUCAAUAGUGAAAGACGGUUUUGCUGUCACUUAUAGAUGGAUCCGCGCCGCAUUAGCUAGUUGGUAAGGUAACGGCUUACCAAGGCAACGAUGCGUAGCCGACCUGAGAGGGUGAUCGGCCACACUGGAACUGAGACACGGUCCAGACUCCUACGGGAGGCAGCAGUAGGGAAUCUUCCGCAAUGGGCGAAAGCCUGACGGAGCAACGCCGCGUGAGUGAUGAAGGUCUUCGGAUCGUAAAACUCUGUUAUUAGGGAAGAAAAAAUGUGUAAGUAACUAUGCACGUCUUGACGGUACCUAAUCAGAAAGCCACGGCUAACUACGUG